GACGAACGCUGGCGGCGUGCUUAACACAUGCAAGUCGAACGGUAAGGCCCUUCGGGGUACACGAGUGGCGAACGGGUGAGUAACACGUGGGUGAUCUGCCCUGCACUUCGGGAUAAGCCUGGGAAACUGGGUCUAAUACCGGAUAGGACUCCGGACUGCAUGGUCUGGGGUGGAAAGCUUUUGCGGUGUGGGAUGGGCCCGCGGCCUAUCAGCUUGUUGGUGGGGUGAUGGCCUACCAAGGCGACGACGGGUAGCCAGCCUGAGAGGGUGACCGGCCACACUGGGACGGAGAUACGGCCCAGACUCCUACGGGAGGCAGCAGUGGGGAAGAUUGCACAAUGGGCGCAAGCCUGAUGCAGCGACGCCGCGUGAGGGAUGACGGCCUUCGGGUUGUAAACCUCUUUCAGCAUCGACGAAGCGAAAGUGACGGUAGGUGCAGAAGAAGGACCGGCCAACUACGUGCCAGCCGCCGCCGUAA
This 478-nucleotide ribosomal RNA is filed under the name uncultured bacterium. Its description in RNAcentral is "partial 16S ribosomal RNA". It matches the Rfam family "Bacterial small subunit ribosomal RNA", at positions 28 to 523 of the family's 1533-position model. The record is from RNAcentral.